RNAcentral lists this ribosomal RNA (253 nucleotides) under uncultured prokaryote. RNAcentral describes it as "partial 16S ribosomal RNA". It matches the Rfam family "Bacterial small subunit ribosomal RNA", at positions 524 to 776 of the family's 1533-position model. The record is from RNAcentral.
UACAGAGGUCUCAAGCGUUGUUCGGAUCCAUUGGGCGUAAAGGGUGUGUAGGUGGCGCCGUAAGUCGGGUGUGAAAUUUCGAGGCUUAACCUCGAAACUGCAUUCGAUACUGCGGUGCUUGAGGACUGGAGAGGAGACUGGAGUUCAUGGUGUAGCAGUGAAAUGCGUAGAGAUCAUGAGGAAGACCAGUGGCGAAGGCGGGUCUCUGGACAGUUCCUGACACUGAGACACGAAGGCCAGGGGAGCAAACGGG